Molecule: ribosomal RNA, 305 nt
Filed under: uncultured bacterium
Lineage: Bacteria
Description: bacterial SSU rRNA
Rfam family: Bacterial small subunit ribosomal RNA
Source: RNAcentral
CCUACGGGGGGCAGCAGUGGGGAAUAUUGGGCAAUGGGCGCAAGCCUGACCCAGCAACGCCGCGUGAGUGAAGAAGUAUUUCGGUAUGUAAAGCUCUAUCAGCAGGGAAGAAAGAAAUGACGGUACCUGACUAAGAAGCCCCGGCUAACUACGUGCCAGCAGCCGCGGUAAUACGUAGGGGGCAAGCGUUAUCCGGAUUUACUGGGUGUAAAGGGAGCGUAGACGGCAGUGCAAGUCUGAAGUGAAAGGCGGGGGCCCAACCCCCGGACUGCUUUGGAAACUGUGCUGCUGGAGGGCAGGAGAGG